This is a long non-coding RNA of Siniperca chuatsi (mandarin fish), 755 nucleotides long. RefSeq lists it as uncharacterized. The transcript is spliced from 2 exons. The record is from RefSeq and is a predicted model, not a curated record. Lineage: Eukaryota; Metazoa; Chordata; Actinopteri; Centrarchiformes; Sinipercidae.
UAGAGAAGUAGAACGGUGUGUGUGAUCAUGGCUGCUUAUCAGCUGCAGAUGGUAACCUAUGUUAUAUCUUUUGUUAUUAUGAAAUAAAUUGGUAAUUAAUACAUGUAGAUUUAAUAUCCACGGUCAACAGGCAGUCGUUUGUGCCUCGAAGUGUUCAACGUCACACAACCAACCUAAAAAGUUUAAACGUCGGGCCCAUUGCCCAUCCAGCAGCACCAUGCUCCUUCUGCUUUGCCCAUCACUGCUUUCUGGUUGCAAGAUCCUCAUCAUCAGUGUGACUCUGCAAGACAUGCCUCGACAUUUGUCUUCAAAAAACGCACAACCCACAGUAUAUUAUAUGAUGAGAUUUAUAAAUUCACAACAUCUGCAAUUUCAAACCCCUAGCAAGGAUGGAUGAAAACAGACUCCUUUUCUUGAUCAUACAUACAAUAAUUGGCAAUUUAUAAUCCAAAUAACCCUGGAUAAACUUGUAACCUGCUAUCACUGAAAGUGAUUAGUAGUAUUAAUAUUUUGAUUCAGUGACUAACACUAUACAACAAAUACAUUGUUGUUAAUAUUUUCUGAUGCUUAUUCAGAAUGAAAGAGUAUUAAUUUGUGAGGCAAUGGCAUUUAUUGUUAACCUUGUUCUAGAGUGAUUUGUGUUACUAGAAGGUACAGAAAUUAAAGAAAUAAAAAAAUCAUUGAUUAUAAAAUGUAUUCACUACACUUGGACUUUGGCAUAUUUGUUUUCAACAACAUUAAAUCAGUAGAAGUAA